This 24134-nucleotide long non-coding RNA is filed under the name Ananas comosus (pineapple). RNAcentral describes it as "long non-coding RNA (ACOM_LNC025275)". Lineage: Eukaryota; Viridiplantae; Streptophyta; Magnoliopsida; Poales; Bromeliaceae. The record is from RNAcentral.
AAUUUUUAAUCUACUCAACCAACUAGGCAACAAAAAAAAAUAAAAAAUAAAAAAAAAUCGAAUGUUAAAAUGUUUUUACUAUAAUAAAUUUUUAAUAGCAUAAAACUUAGUUUGGUAUUGAAGUGGAUCUAACACUAUUAGAUAAAAUAAAGUUGAGAAAAAGCAUAUAGUGAUAUGCUUCUGCGUUCUCCAAUGGGACCACAGAAAAUAUACCGUAACCGACUAACCACAAUAUGCGGAACGCAAUAUUACGUACGAAAAUAAACACGGUAUUUUUCUAUCGGUGUUUCUCACGACACGUAACGCAAUCUUCCCGCAAUUCGAAACGAAGCCUAAUUAAGAUUUUUUUUUUCUAAAAAAAAGCCUAAGAAUAUGUGGGUAUGUUCCAACUAGUACGGUAGAAGUGGAAUUUAUUUGAACUAAUCUCAUUGGCUGGGAGUUCGUUAUUUUGCUUAGGGAUGCCAGCGGGUCGUAUUCGGGGCGGAUUUAAAAAAAUCUAAACCCGAGCCCAACUUCAAACUCGAAACCCGAACACAAAUUCGACGGAUUUUAAAAAUGCAUAUCUAAAUCCAAACCGACCAAAAACCCGAAAUUCAACCUAAACUUGAAACGAUUAUUUUUCUUUUUAAUAUUUUAAAAUAUAUUAUAUUAAAUUUAAAAUUUUAAAAUAUAAAUUCAAAUAUAAUAUCAAAUUUUUAUAUACAUAUUAUAUAUAAUAUAAAAUAAAUUUAGGUUCGGAUCAGAUUCGGGUUCGGGUCCGGGCCAGGUACAGUCAAAAUCUAUAUCCGUUGAUUUUUAUUUUUUAUAUCCAUAUCCGAAAUCAUAUCUAUUUAGCAUCGGAUAAAUUCGCUCUGUUCGAGUUCGGAUUCGGAUAAAAUUUUGGAUAUCCGUACCCAUUAACAUCCUUAAUUUUGCCAUACAGAAGAACUAUGGUUAAAUAUCUAUCCAUGCAUAAAAUUUGCUUGAAUAGAGCUUUGCCCAAAAUAAGUUUUUGAAUAAUCCUGGACACAAGAAAACCUUUUUUUUCAUAUAUUUUUAGGGAAUCCAAUCCAAUUCUUAGCCACUAAGAUACAAUUUGUGGGCACUCCAGGUAACUAUAAUUUUUUAUCAUCAAUCAUGUAGCUUUCAUGCAACUGAUCUGUUUGCAAAUUUUCAAAAGAAAUGGUACAAAUAUAUAAAAAAAAUAAUAUAUAUAUAGGGUCCGGCUACUAUACUAUUAUGAGUAUGAUCGCCCUUAUACUCAUAAGUUGUUUUCGAUGAUAGAGCUUCCGAAUCGACGAUCCACACAGUUAAACGUUAUUUACAGCAUUUAAAACUUCUACAAAUCAAAUUUUAUAAUUUUUCGACAACAUUUACCUUACGAUCAAGAAGUCACAAAUUUGACAAUUUUUAACGGCCGGUAUGGGAUACUUGCUAGUUUAACGGUGUAAAAGAAUCGAAAUUUGUUGCAUUUUUGAUAGAAAAUUCUAUUCACUACAUAGAUAAAGAUCAAUAACUCCGAUCUUGAAUUGAAGGGUCCGACCAUCCUUUUUUAGGACGUCGUUCGAUUUUGACCGUUCAUUUUAUACCCACUUGAUGGACUUUAUUAUGAUUUCAAAAAUUUACGAAAUUUAUUUUCUAGAAGUUUCAAAUACUCUAGAUCAUAUUUAACGGAGUAGAUCAUCAAUUCAAAAACUCCAUCAUUGAAAAUAACUUAUGAGUACGGGGCUCCAAUACUCAUAAUAUUAUAGUAGCCAUGGCCUAUAUAUAUAUAUAUAUAUAUAUAUAUAUAUAUAUAUAUAUAUUCAAUUAAAUACUGCAUCAGAAUAUUAUGUAGUCAAACUUUGCAUCUCCUCCUUUUCUGCGGCUCUUAUCAAAAGUGCUGGGCCCAAAAGUCGUUCAUAUUCACAUACUGAAGUAAUCGUACGAAAUAACCGGAAUAAAUAUAUUUUCAGGUGCGGACCAAAUAAUUACAUAGAUUCAAAUGUUCAAAUUAAGGGUCCUAAACUGGUCUUAUCAAUUCCACUUCUAUCAAAACAUGCAAUAUAUCUUGAAUUUUUAGAGUUCACUGGCUUCAAAUAGCAGUAUUAUACUAACAACUGCUACAAUCUAUUCGUGUCGGAUCGUUGGUACGAUUAAUCCCAAAAACUCGGACGGUUAGAAAUACGCAACUAAUUUGCUUAAAGCAUACAGAUAGCAUGCAAAAAUUAAAACCGUGAGCUUUGUCUCUGAUAUAAUUUAUUAGAUCAUUGGCGCUAAUUAUUGAUUAAUUUUAAAAAUUCAACAUAUUAAAAAUAUGCAACUAAUUCACUUAAAAUGUAUAGACAUGACCGACCGUCCCGAGAGCAAGUGGCAAAAGGCCUGGUGGUUGAUAUCCGAGACCCAAGUUCGAAUCCUAGUUGAUUCACAUUUCCAGCUAAGUUUAUUUUUUAAAUGAAAUAAACGAAGCAGGUAGCAUACUACUUAUCUCUUUAAAGAAAAAAAAAAAAGUAUAGACAUGGCGAUACGAUCUCGAUUGUGACUUGAUUCAGCUAGCCUCACACCGCUUCGAACACGACUCGAUCUAAUCCAAUCUCACGCUAUUUCGAACGUAAGUGUCCUAUCAUAAGAUAGAAUAUUGGUCUAUUUAAGCCAACAUAUUUGGAGCACCAAAUAUUAAUGAAUCCAAUAAUGCAUGGAGGAUGUGGAACACACAGUAUAUCCAAUGAUACAUUAUCUCAAAAUUUUAGGCGCAUCAUGUUUGUUUAGCUAAUAAGGGGAAUUAUUGCCACGUGACAGGUCACAUACAUGCAUGCGCUUUUCUCACAGCGUGACAACCCAUGCCAUAUGUUUGCACACCGUACCUGAAUGGAAAUAAUAAUAAUUAACUUGGAUCGAAGCAAAAGAAUAAUGUAGUGGACAAGCACAAAUGGGGCAUUGCUCAGAGAUGUUGCUGGACACGUGACACGUGUCGGCUGCUCGUGGAGUUAACGGUGCCUUACCCACCGCACAAGGAAUUGCACUGUACUAAGAACAGGCAUGCGUGCCAUGUGCUUGUACUGGAAAAGCAUAUUUUUGGCUCUAAAGUUUAGUGACAUGUCUUAGAUGCAAAGACAACAAAUGGCUCUUCAACACUGCUGGUUCCUAAAGCAAGUGGCAAAGUAAUUGCUGGUUGGUACCCAAAAUUUGAAGUUCGAAUUUUAGUUGAUUCACAUUUCUAGUUAAGUUUAUUUCUAAAUUAAAUAAACGAAGCGGAUAGCGUGCUACAUAUCUCUUCCAAAAAAAAAAGAGCUCUUCAACCGGCCAUCUCUAGAGCAAGUGGCAAAAGAUUUGGUGAUUGGUAUCCGAGGUCCCAAAUUCGAAUUCUAAUUUAUUCACAUUUUCAGCUAAGUUUAUUUCUAAAUAAAAUAAAUGAAACGAAUAGCGCGCUACCUAUCUCUCAAAAAAAACAAAUGGCUCUUCAAAUUACUUAGUUCAUGGCCAGCUUUUAGUACUACUAUUUACGGUGAUACUUGAAACGUAGUGUUUACUAUUCUUUCUACUAAAACACUGCCAAAUUAGGCCGUCGUUACUCUUAUUAAUAACUGUAGAAAUUUAUUCGAUUGCAUCUAAAUAUUACUCUCCUAUGUUAGAAAAGAUCAAAAUAUAGAAACUUAUGAUCUUGCCAAUGUAACUUAAUGAUCAUAAUUCUUCUACUGUCUAAUUUUUUUAUCGUCUUUGAUGUAUUUCUAAUUUGCUAAUAAAAUUGCCAACGGAUUUUCUCUCAAAAAAAAUAAUAAUUUAGAAGUAUCCCUACAAGAAAGAAUAUGGGAUCUAGAGUAGGUUAGUCCAAGAUAGAAUAUUUCAGAUGGAGUUUAAUAACUCCGGAAGAAUUAUUUGUUUUAAUAAAAAUUUGAUGUAACUUUUAUACUCUCUAAUCCAAAUGUUUAGACACUCUUCAAAAAUUUUAAAUUAAAUAUAAAAAAUAAUAAAACAAAGUGUGAAAAUUUAAUUUUUGGUCCAGCUGAGUAUAAAAUUACACCUGAUUUUUUGAUAUACAAAUAAAAUAGCGUUGCUCAAAUUCAUAUUUGAGAAAAUAAAAGAAGGCCAAAAUGUAUAGAACUUAUCUAAACUAUGACUAAUUAAUCUUUUAAAUUUUUUAUUUUACAAUCCAACUUUUGAUGAAUCAGUCGGCAGUAUUUUAACUUCAAAUUUUAAAUAUAUUAUUUAUAUUUACAGAUUUAAUUAGUAUAAUUUAUAUAAUUUUCAUAAUUAUAAAUUUAUUAAAGUAAAUAAUAAGCUUAAAUUUUGAAAUCAAAGUAUUCUCAGCUAACUCAAAUUAACUAAAUUGAAAGAUUCUAAUAGCAAAAUUAAAAUUUCAAAAAUAGUAUAUUUAAAAUAUUCCAUAAUAAUUCUAAGAAAUUUUAUACAUUUUUACACGGCAAAUGGAAUGGAGCACCCCAAGCAGUGCGUUAUGUUGACUUUUUGCGUUCGCCGGGUCAACGCAGUAUUCACGCUGGUGGCGUAUCCACCUCGCGUUGAAUAAAAAUCCAUCCACUAACGCCAAAAGUCAACGCACCAUACCCCAAGAAACGAACUGAGUCAAAUGAUUCGACCGGUUCAAUGGAUUACAUAAUGGUUGAAAAAAAAAAAGAAAAAAAAAAAGAAGGGGCAUCCCUCAUUUGUAUUUGGUUUUGAAAUAGACCUUCAUUUUUUAUUUUUUCAGUAAUAUUUUUUAAAAAAUUUGUGCAAGUCUUUUUAUUUUUGUAAUUUAAAAGUAUGAAUGCUCUGACCUCUAAAAUAAUAAUCUGAAUAAUAACUAGUAAGGGAGUGACUUGCUAAUUUUUAAACUUCGAGCAAUUGAUAACUAAUAAUUAAUCUCUAAAUAAAGCUAUUAACUUUAAUAAAAUUUUUCAUUUUAUUAGCUACAAUAACUUAACCAAAAAAUUAAUAAUAAUAAAGUCAAGAUAGUGUCUAAUAUAUAUUUUAUAUAUUAUAUAAAUAUACGUGGACUUGUUCCAAGCCCAACCAUUGGAGUAACCGCUAUUUCCACCAAUAAUUGACAAAAUAAUUGUCUAAAGAGAAGGGGCCUAAGAAUUCAACGAAUCAAACAAAAGUUUCAAAAAAUUAACCCAAAUUUUCACGUAUAAUUUAAGACGUGUAUUUUCUCACUUUAAUACUCUGUAGUCUAAAAUAAUAGCACUUUACUACUCUAUAAUUUUUUUUUUUCUUUCCGUUAAUUUCGACAUUAAUUUUUUCGUUAAAUCAGUAAAAAAAUUAAAAUUAAAAGAUACUAAAAAAAAAUUCGGUAUACCAUAGAGUACUAAAGUAAAUAUUCGAUAAAUCAUAUGUGAGAUAUCUAAAAUUUUUUGUAUAUAAUUUUAUAAAUAGUUACCGGAGGUAUUGUCAAAAAGAGAAAAAUAAAAUCACGGAAAACUUAAAUAAUAUACUUUAAAAUAUAUAAUACUAAAGUGAGAAAAUACAAAACUACAAAUGUGGUAUUUAAAGCUUACCCUAAAAUAAUAUAUUUUUGUCGCGACAAUACACAUUGGGCAACCAAACAGGACUUGGUAAUUACAGUAUCAUCAUGUAUUGGUUGGUGAGGAAAUUAGAGGCAUUACAUUACACGCUUCCUUAAAAUACUAAUUUUUAACCCGUCACGAUAUUACGUCCGAUGAAAAGUGCAGCGAAAAUAUAUUAUGUUUAUUUUUGUAAGAAGUAAUGCAUCAAAUAAGAUAGAUAAUUACGAGAGAAGCAUACUUUUUUUUAUACUUUUGUACAGUUCUGGAUCAAUAGCAUUAAGGGGCUAUUUGGUUAUACGCAUUUGCAACUGCAGUGCAGUUGCAAAUGCGUGCAGCCUCAAUUCCUUUGUUUGGUUUAGUGUAGUUGAGUUCAACUGCUGCAGUUCCAACUGCACAAGAAGGCCCAAAUGCUGCAGUUGGAACUACAUCCAAAUUGGUCGUAGUUCCAACUGCAGCAGUUGGUGAGGGAUAGGAUCACCCACAAAUUAAUAAUAAUAAAUAAAUAAAUAAAUAGCUAAAUAAAUAAAUAAUAUAUGUAUAUAGGUAAAUAAAAAUACUUAUAAAUAAACUCAUACUAAUAAAAUUUUUUAGACAAUACAAGCUUUGUGCAAAAAAUUAAUUUUUUUAAAUUUAUUUUAUUUAAAAUAUAAAUAUAGUUUUUUUUUCUAAAUUUUUAUAGAAUGUGAUCGUGUAUGUUAAUUUAAUAAGUUUUAAUUAAUUAUAAUUAUUAAAAUUGAUAAAAAAAAUGAGAGAAUCGUUUAAAUUUUUAAAGUUUGAUUUACAUAUUAAAAUUAAAUAAAUUAAAAAUUUUAAAUAUGUCGAUUAAUAAGUUGAAGAAUUAUUGAAAAAUAUAAAAAUAUUAUAUAUAUCUACUUAUUUAUUUAUAAAUAGUAAAUUUAAAUAAUUAAGAAAUUUAUAUAAUUAUUUUAUGUUUAGUGAAGGUAACCUCACCACUUUAUCUGAAGAGGUGACAAAAUUCAUAAAUACAACUAUCAGCUUCAUAUUACCAAACAGAAGAAAUAUAACUGCAGCAGUUGCAACUGCGUAAAACCAAACAGACUAGGUGUAGUUAUAACUGCAGCAUUUGUAACUGCAUGUAUUUCCAACUACACUGUUUCUGCAACUACAUCCAACCAAACGGUCCCUAAGUGGGUCCUAAUAUUAAAAAAGUAUGCUCCGAUAAGCAGAUCUUACAUUCUACGAUUCGAGAAUUUUAAAAUUUCUUUUGAAUUCUUUAUUUUAGCAUUAAAAAGAAGUUUGAUAAGAUGUAUGAGUAAAUCUGGACCUUUUUAGAGAUUAAGGUGUAAAAUUUACACCUAGAUUAGAUGUGUACGUGUAGCAUUACUCGAAUAUCAAACAAGUGAAAAUAAUAAUAAUAAUAAUAAUAUAAUAAUAAUAACAACAACAACGCUAUUCUUUUCCAUUUAUUUUCUCUGAAUUUUGAAUUUUCUUUUUCCUCUGUUGCUUUUUUUUUUUUUCCCCUUUAAAAAUUUCCCCUGUUUUUUAAGAGCUAGAGAAUGUUAAACCCAUUUGGAAUAUCUUUAUCUGGGAAUGCAAAUGGGCCGGGUAGUGUGUGGGCCAUGAACAGCCCAAUAGUGAUGCGACAAACCUAUGGGCCAUAAUGGGCUUGACCAGACUCAACGACUGAUUUAGAAAUUUAACCCCAGAUUGGCCAAGUAAACAAAAAUAAUAUUUAGGUGAAACUACUACCACCAACCCAGCUUAAUGUGAGAUUAUUAUUAUAUAUUUGAAUUAGCUCUACAUUUUGUAAUUUUUCAAAGAUAUUGGCAGAAACAUGUAAAAUGCCAAAGUUUUUAUAUGGUUGAAUCCACAAAUAAAGUAAAAUGAACAUCUACGGUAUCAGAACUACAAGCUUAAACCUGCUCCAGAUGCUAAUUCAAAACAAAUCUUACCAUGAGAAUGCGAACCGGAAAAUCCCAUUUCCUUCUUGCUCGCAUAUGCCAAUCUUACCAAAGAAAAAGGAAAAUAUUGUUAACAAUGAUUCCGAACCUAUAAAUACUAGAGUACACACCAGAUUAAUCUAACUCAUGGAUGCACAGAAUAUAAGAGUGCCUAGCGAAAAUUGAGAGAGUUGUUAUGAAAUUUUAGAAAAGUUUGCAAGGAAAUAUAGUUCUAGUCAUACAUAGGAAGUUAAAGAAUCGAUUUUGAUCCCUCUAAAUAGGUAGAAUCAAAGGGCGUAGUUGCGGUUGUACAUGUCACAAGUAAAAAUACUUGUCAUACCGCAAACAAAUUGUUCUUGUAGAAAAGAGUCCAAUUCGAAUCGUCGGAAGAGAUCAGCUCAGCUCCUUCUGUGCUAAUGGAGUCCGAACAUGAAAUUGGUCCCGAAGAAAUGAUCUCGGCGCCCUCUUUGUGUCCACUUCCACUGCAAGUGAAUUCGACAGACCCGAAACCGCAUGCCGCCUCUCGGUUCCCUCCGUCUUUUGACAGAGAAAUUCUCUCAUGAUCAAACUCAUCCUCGUCAUCCGACAGCCAUUGGCAGCAAUCCAACUCGCCCAUCUCGAAGAUCCGACUAACUAGCCCUUCUCGCCAGGAAAUUCUCGUCGCCGAACGAACUUUUCUGCCAGAGAUGCUAUUGUCACAGAAUGGCUUUCUAAAACAGCUUAAGUCGAUCGAUUCGAAAGGCGUUUCCUGGGGUCCAAACUGGAAGCUGUGCACCGACAGUGCUAACAAGCUAGCUUCAUCACUGUCCAUUCUCUUCGAAGAUAAGCUAAUGGAUUUGAGAACUUCUGAAAUGGCAUCCACUUCAUGUACUGAAAAGUUGGGUGCUUGUUUUGCUGUCGAAUUGACAUUGCAAGUGUUAUCAGUCCACGAUGACUCGCCGGAAAAUGGCGACCUUUCCGCAUUGGGGCCGUAGCGGUAGCCGCCGCUUUCUUGCUGAACUCUAGGAAGCUUAGGCAUAGACGAUUUCGACGCCCUUUUCAAUAUCAUCGAGAAAGGACUGAGACUACUAUCGGUAGUAGGAGUUUUCUGAAUACCGAAACCCGAAGAUGGUGUUGUUUGUAAUGGCGAAGCGCCGCCGUGAGAAAAUCUCCAAAGAUCGGCGGAAUAAUUAGCCGCCGAAAAAGAGCAUUUUGGUAAGAUUAACUCUUCUUCCUUGUGAAUACUCUCUUCUCCAUCCUCACAGGGAGAGAGAAGCCAAUUUACGGAUGCUUCGGCUUCGCAGUGAGCUUUAGAGAAUGAACUGAAGCUGCUACUUGGAUCCCCAGGGGAAGAAGAGAGCCAGUGAAUUGAAGCCCCAGCAAGCGGAGGCGGUAUCGAAGAGAGCGGCGACUCGUCGAAGUGCUUCUCGCGAAGCUCCACCGAUUCCGCGGGCUCGUCUCGGCCGACGGCGAGAAUCCCCCUCGGCCGGCACUUCCGCCGAUCGUGGACACCGGCGACGACGUGGCCCGCGGCGAAGCAUACGGGCGUCGGGGCCACGGAGGACGCGCAGGGGACUUCGGGGGAGAUAGAAGCUUGAAUCGGGGGCGUCGCGCUCGUACCUGAUUUGGGGCUAAUCAACGAGGGCUUCGCCUCCGCCUUCUUCGUCUUCUCCGGCGUGGUGGCGCCGUCGCCGUGGAACCCUACCUCGAAGCUGAGCUCGGGAGAUGGCUUCUUCGAACCGCUCGGCCUCGUCGUCUUCUUCGGAGGGUUUCUAGGGUUUCGGGAGGGGAGGGUUCGCGGAUUGGGAGGGGCCGAUCUGGGGGUCGAUAGGGUCCGAUUUGAUCGGGCGAUCGGGUUCUUCGAGGAGGAGGAGGAGGAGGAGGAAUUGGACAAGAGGAAGCGGAAGCACCCGGAUCGCGGGGCCUCACCGGAGCCGGAGAGGGGAGGACGGGAGCCGCCAUUAAUGUCGGUGAGGGGGCUUCGUCUAGGGCUCGGCUUCGUCUUCGUCUUCGUCGUCUUCGUCGUCGUCCCCUUCAUCUCCACCUCCGCCUCCGAGCUCCUCCUCCCUCCGAACACUCCGAGCUUCGAUGGCUUGUUCAUGGCAGUGUUCGCUCCGCCUCUGUUCGUACAUAGAUCCGUUGGAAAAAGGAGGAAACCAAAAAAAAAAAGAGGGUUUUUUUGAAUUGAGAUGAAGAGGAGACACCUCGAGAUUCGACGAACUUAGCUUACUUUGUUUAUACCGACGAAAAUGCUAUACGGUAAAUUGCAUGUUAGUGCCUAAACUUUCCUGGUAUUACGAUACAGUCCCCUUUAACUAUUCACUUCAACCCCGCAGCCCUUCGUACAAAUCUUUUCAAAAUUUCUUGUCAGUAUAGCUUUUGAUCAAAACCUAAGACGUAUAAAUAUAUAAAUCUGCACUAGGUACUCUAACAGUAAAAUUUAGAUAGUUUAGCUCACAUUCGUUGAUCAUAUUAUAUAAGUAAAAUUUAUUAUAUAAAUUAAAAAUAUUAUUUUGUUAAUACAAUAAUACUAUUAUUUUAUUAGAUAUAUGGUCGAAAACUAAGCACAUAAUAUUAGAAUAUCAGAUAGGACUAAAAAGAGAUGUCAUGACGUUUGAUUAUAUUAAUUUCAGUAAUUAAAUAUAUUCAUAUUUGUCUAAUUUUUUUAUUUAAAAAUUUAUUCUCAUCCUAACUUUUAUCUGUAAGCUGGUUUUAACGUCUUACAUUUUUAGCAAAAAUGAAACACGCGAGAGUCGUGAUAGAGAUCUUACCUUGACCCAAAAUUCAAAAAAUAUAGAAAGUUCAGGGACAAAAGUUCAGGGACCAUGUCGCAGUAUGUCGGAAGCACGUGGGCUAAUCCAAACAUUUCCUUUGCGUUUGUGAUGUGAUGCUAAUCUCGACGGUCAGAUCAACGACGAUCCACGAAAUUGACGGCGAAGAUCACUCGAUACCGACCUUUUAGCGCCAUGUGGGAGUGGUUCGCUUAUCGCUAAUCGCGUCUCUUAAUUCUCCUCAGUAUAAAACGAGAACACCAAUGCGAACAGGAACCUACGCAACUACCAUUUUUACUCUGUUCACUCUGCUGUAUUUAUCUCAUCUUCGCCAUGGGAGAUGCGGAGACGCAGAAGAAGAAGAAGAAGAUCAUCAUCGACACCGAUCCCGGCAUAGGUAGGUCACCACAAAACCCUAGUUUUUGCACUCAGAGAAAACCCUAACUUGAUGAUUGUGGGGGCUAUUUUUGUUUUUGUUUUGUUUUCUCGAUCUGAGAUCCAUUUUGCUUAAUUCUGAUCAAUUGUUGGCGGUGCGUGUGGGGGGUUUUGCUCUUAGAUGAUGCGAUGGCGAUAUUCGUAGCGCUUAAUUCCCCGGAGAUUGAGGUGAUUGGGCUCACGACGAUAUAUGGGAAUGUGUACACGACGCUGGCCACGAGAAAUGCUCUGCAUUUGGUAAGUAUCUGUGUCUAUAUGAGCUCCUAGAAUCGUCUUAUUGGAUACGGUUCAAAUUUGAACAACUAUUUUAGCUCAUUCUUUCAAGUGAAACAUAAGAUCUUAGUUACUUUGGUUUUUAUAAGCUAAUUGAGAUGUGAAAUAGGAAGAAUUGCUAUGUCCAAAUUUGUAAACAAAUAAGCACUAUAGACGCUAGAAAUCUUCUACUCAUGUAUAUAUAAUAUGUCUGAUUAUGCACAUUUAUUGUAUGCCUUAAAAAAAUGAAAUUGGAGGUAGCACUUAUUUUCCAUGCUUGUAUAUUGAGGAUAAUAAUUUUAUAUUAAGGGCAUGUUCUUCAGUCUUAAUAUUCUCAUUGACGUGAUUGGUUUUUUUUAGUUGGAGGUUGCUGAAAGGAAUGACAUACCAGUGGCCGAGGGAUCUCAUGUAACAAUGAUGGUAUCUACUGAUUAUUACAAUACCUGAUCUUUUACUGUUAGUAACAAUGUUCUAUUUCUUUAUAUUUUUUUUCUGUAACUUUAUCUGCCAUAGCCUAUAGAAGAUAAAUAUUCUGGGCGAGACAGUGGUGUAGAUUUUAGAAAGUUUGUUCGUCAGAAAAAUUGCAUAGUAUGAUAACAUGUUACUUGUUUUCUUUAUAUGGAAAAGAAAGUUACAAAGCUUCGCAUCGCUAGCUUUGUUCAUGGUUCGGAUGGGCUUGGAAACCAGAACUUUCCUCCGCCAAAAGGGAAGGCAAUCGAUCAGUCAGCUGCUGCUUUUCUUGUUGAAAAAGCAAAUCAGUAUCCUGGAGAAGUUACUGUGGUAGCACUUGGCCCGCUGACAAAUAUUGCUUUGGUUAGUUUCUCUAUCGGUAUAUUGCACCAUCGGUUCGCCAUCUUUCAAUUGUUACAAUUGAGACCCUAACAUUUGCAUUUAGUUGCCACCUUAUCCUCUCGGUUAUUUCCUUCCUCUAACCAGAUAGAUAUAUUUGUGUAAUCGACAUCUAACUGGCACACUUGUGAUUGUUGUGCUUCUCAUAUUUAAAUUAUGUGGGAAUUCCCCUCCAAGUUUGCCAAAGAACUUGACGGAAAUUGUAAGAUUUGCAAUGUUAGGAAAUGUUAGAAAUCCAAUUGUAACAGUUGAACGGCCUGAGACCGAACCAUAACCUCCAGAAAAGGUUGAACUCUUCGGGGGACAUCCUAACACACUUUACCCAUAUCUCUUUCGCAUUUUCUUUGCCAGAUAUACUCCAUCUUCUGACCUUUUUAAGUUGUUUCUGUAUUCUGACAGGCUAUUGAACUUGAUCCUGCAUUUCCAAAGAAGAUAGGGCAAAUUGUUAUUCUUGGUGGUGCAUUUUCAGUAAAUGGGAAUGUUAAUCCAGCGGCUGAGGCAAAUGUAUGUUUGCUUUCCCAGUCCCAUGCGUUUACUACCUCUGAUACUAUAAUUGUGUUGUUGUCUUCUCUUCUUCUUUUUUUUUGUUUUUAGAAUCAAAUAUAUCAUUAUGGACUACAGCCUGUAAAUUCAAUUGUUAUCGUUGAAUGUUUGAUCAUAUAUAGUAGCUGCAUUAAUAGGAGUUUCUAGUUGAAUAAGGGUCCCUAUUCGAAUGAAUCAUUUGGCAAUUGAAUUUCUUUUCCUGUCAACAGAUACACAGUUGCCAUUUUUUGCAGAUAAUCCAUUUCUUUAUCUUUUGGUGUUUUUUUUAAAAAAAAAUUAAAAAACCGACAAACAGAUCUUUGGUGAUCCUGAAGCUGCUGAUAUUGUGUUCACCUGUGGAGCAGAUAUCUUGGCUGUGGGAAUAAAUGUAACACAUCAAGUCAUUCUUACAGGUAUUUACCAAUUAGUAACCAUUAAUUAUCCUCUAACUUAUGAUAUACAUAAGCAUGAAAACCCAUCCAGAGGGACCUAGUUUGCUUGGAUUUUUCAGCUUCUUGCUUGCUCACAUGCUUGCUUGCUUAUUCUCUUACAAAACUAGAGUUUCGUUGAAUUAUAUUUCUUGAAUUUGAAGUGAUAACUAUUAUUCUAGCUCCCAACAGCCACUUAAUUUGGUCACGCAGCAAACAGCCUUAUAAAAGUUUAAAUAUCUAUCUAAUAGAAUUUUGAGUUUGGUUGUUCCCACAUAUCAAUACUAUUACGCAGGAUAGAUCCUUUGUAUGAAGUCAUGUAAUAAUAUGCUAUCUAUGAGAAGCUAGUUGUUUUCACCAUGCACUCCCUGACGUCUUUACGAUGCCUUGCAGAAGCUGAUCGUGACAAGCUUCAAAAUUCCAAUGGCAGAUUUGCUCAAUACUUGUGCAAGAUCAUAGGGUUUUAUUUUUCAUACCAUGAGGAGGCCUAUUGUACAAAAGGUUCAUAUGGGACUAUAUUGUAUCUAAAAUGCUGCAAAGUGAACAUAUCUCCAGUUUAUUGAUUCAAUGUGUAUGGAUAAAUGCAGGUGUUUACCUUCACGACCCAGCAGCACUUCUUGCCGCGGUCAAUCCUUCAUUGUUUACUUACAGUGAGGGUGUUGUGCGGGUUCAAACAUGUGGAAUCAUGAGGGGUCUUACUAUAUUCGAUAAUACGAAGAAAAGGUCAGCAGCUUUCUGCCAAAAACUGGCUGCUGACAAUUUAACAUGAAUACAGUUCUUAGGCUGAAAUUGUGUUGUCAUUUUCACGUUUUCUCAUUGAUUAUUUGCUUCUGUGCGAUCAUUCAGUCAUAAAGAUAUGACUUGAUAUGGUGCACCACUUGAAACAUUUAUUCACGUGGCAGGUCGACCAUUCUCAUCAAGAACGCCUAAUUGAGUUUCGUAUCACCAAUUAUAUCAUAGCUUUGCUCGUCUCCAAAUACAGUCCCACUCAUUCAUGUCAUUGAUUCUCUCCUUUGAUGUUUUGAUGUGCACAUUUUAUGUUCAUGCUGUUGUAGGUCUACUUUUAUUUAUCCGGUUGCAACUUCCAAUCAGUUGAGCUAAAAAGAAUGGUGAAGCUUUUUCUCUGAUAGUCCCUGUUUUGGACUGGUAUAAAGAUUGAUUUACUUUACAUACGAACCACCAAACAUAACAAAAACCGCUUUUCAAAAUACAUAGGAUGAAGCUUGUUGGAUGUUAGAUUAUGUUUAUGCAAUUUUCUGACUGUCUGAGUCAACAUUAUUCCCACACCAACACCCACAUCUCUGGUGCAUGCAAAUGUUUGAGUAUUCUUUGUUGACAAGGGCUCACAUAUUGGUCUACAAUCCAAUCAUAAAUGUUGCAACUUCUAUGACCCUUUUUUCUCAAAAUUUUGCAGGUACGCAGAAGUCACAGAGUGGACCAAUAAGCCCAUGGUCAAGGUCGCUGUCACUGUUGAUGCCCAGGCUAUGGUAGACUUGGUGAUGGAAAGGCUUAUGAAUUCUUAGCGGAAAUCCUCCAAAAUUGCCUUAAACUGAAUAAAAAAUAUGGAAACAACUUGGUUCUUCGCUAGCUCUGCCUUUUCAUGCAUGCGAUUCUGCCGCUAAAGAAAGGUUGCAUGGAUUGUGAUGGACCGGCGCAAACUGUUAGCACGGCUCUUGUCUUUAAAUCUUUUACGGGGUGGAGAGCGGCCAAAUCCUGUAGUUGUUGUAAACUAUGGAGAGAGGCUUAGUUACCUAAUGUCCAAUUGAAUAAGAUUGUUGUGCCAAGCAAAACUUUUAUUUUUUUAAAAAAAAGUGCCAAGCAAAGCAAGUUGUAAUUUGAAUUUUUAGUUCGCAUAAGUGGUUAUUUACUUCAGUUUUUUCUGAUCGUUUUCAAAGUUUGACCUAUACUGUAAAUCCUCUCCUCUUCCGUGCAAAAUCUCAGCCGUUUGAUGCUCACUCUAAAUUUAGUUUGUGCGUUGCUCGGAUAAUUAGUUUGUUUGUGUGAAUGUGUGAUUGUGUGAAAGAAAAGGCCAAAUGCUGGGUUUCUUUAGCUCGAUCAUGGCCAGGUGCACUAACAAUGAUCGGUCCCUUUUUUAUUGUUUUCAUCUUUUCCUUUUGUUUAUGCUUGGUUGUAUGUGAAAGUGCCUGAAGUGUUUGGUUCAACCUGCAGCUUCUCUAAUGGCUAUCGGUCCACCGAGCGUUCCGAAAAUAUAAUUUUCUUUGAGGGGGUGGGAGGUUCCGUGGGACACUGCAAUACAUCAACGAAAUAAACAAUGCCCUUGUUGUUCUGAGUUAAUAUUGAAUGAACUUACACUCAGAAGUAUAUUUUCUCAAUUGAAGUUUCUCUGGCAAAGUGGGUCAUAUUCUAAUUAAGCAAGGAGAGCUACAACCACCUUGUUACAUAACUUCACUAUAUUUCCUGCUUUUAACCAACCAAGCAUUCUCCUUCACUUGUGAAAUGCAACAUGAGUGAGUAAAUUCCAUAAAUAUGCACUGUACACAUAAACAUAAGUUUUAAUCGUCCUUCACCACACCUUGCUUCAGGAAUGUUUCCGUUUGAUAGAGGAAUUAAUUACAAAUAAGCUAAGAAUUGAAUCCGCUGUUAACUGUAUGCAUGUGAGAAUCGGUUUACUGUAUUGAAGUUCAACUAAGACUAAAUAUAUGUGUAUCACGAUGCAGAUUAGAGCAAUUGGUUGAUUUUUGAAGGUGGAUAAGAUAUAUAAUUGGUUGGUCCACGACAGGCGGUGGACCAUGUCCAGGCUACAAUUCCCGCGUCCCACAAAUCUAAUCUAAUUAAUUAAUUAACCCUACUAUUUCAGACCUAAUCUGUUAUCGAUCGAGUUAUGGAGCUUAUCUGGAUCGGACGGCGACUCGAACUCGCGAGUAAACGGACACUUAACAAAAAAACGCUCUACCCCCAUCGUAACGCAACAACGAUGUGUCGGAGAAUAUCCAAGUAAUGGCAUUCUCGUAAAUAACCCCGAAAACUCGGGGCUCUUGCCGAACGAGGAUGCGUUCUACACCUGCUAUUCUUGCUCGGCGUUGCCCCUACCUUUCCCGCCUCGGGCCUAUAAAUACCCGUCGGAGCUCGCCCCUUCUCUUUUUGAGAAUUCUCCUCUCCGCUAUUCUCCGCCCUCGCGGGCCCUUAUCGUUAACGAGCGAAGCCGCGCAAAACCCUAAUUCGUGUAACCCUAAUGGCGCAGGAGAUCCCCGAUCAAACCCUAGAAAUCCCCGAGGACCCGAUCGCGUCCCCCGGCCCCGAUCCCGCCGAGCCCGCGCUCGCGCGGAGCGGAUCCGCCAGCCGACUCAACGCCCGGGCGCCGGAGUUCGUCCCGCGCGCCGCGGCGGNCCCCGGCCCCGAUCCCGCCGAGCCCGCGCUCGCGCGGAGCGGAUCCGCCAGCCGACUCAACGCCCGGGCGCCGGAGUUCGUCCCGCGCGCCGCGGCGGUGAUCCACGUGUUCCCGGCGGCGCCGCCGAGCCCGACGUUCUUCGCCUCCGGUGCGGUCCCGGGAGCUUUCGAGUAUUAUGGGGUCGGAGGCGCAGGCUUUGGGGAGCACGAGGUGGUUCAGGGGCCGGUUGAUCCAGAUCCGGCGCCGGCGCCGCCGACGGUGCCGGCCAAGGAGGGUCUUUCGGAUGAGGUUGUUCAGAAGAUCACCAAGCAGGUUGGUGCCCCUAGUAUUUGUAAAGUGUUUGAUUCUUUUUCCAAUUUUUUUGUGCUUCAGAUCUCGUUUAGUGGAUGGAUUACGCAAAAAGAGGAAUUUGAUAGGUAAUUCAUCCGCCAAGAGUGUAAUUUGUUUAAUUUAGUAGCUAAUUCAGGAGCAUAGCAUGAUAUAUCCUAACGUAAUAGUUGUUGUUGUUGUUUUUUUUUUUGUCCUUUGCGUUUCGUUAGUUGGAGAUCAUAGUAAAAGAGGAAGAUAAAACAGGCAGUAGUUUUGUGUUAUUUGACGACCUUAAAAUUGAUUGUACUCCUGGCAUCGUCCCAUUCUUAUUGAUAGAUGGAGUAUACGAGCGAAUAAGUUGAAAUUGAGUGAUGGUAUGGUCUACCGAGACGGACAAGUCUUGCUUCUGCAAGGCAAGUGCGCUAAACUGGGAACCAUGAUGCAGGGCAGUCGUUAUCUUGGCGGUGAUCCUAAUUAAUUUCUUUCACUAGGAAACUUUCUCUCAAACUGAUAAUAGAAAAAGUGAUUCUACUCUUGCAUUUAUCAUUUGAGCAAGAAGAAGAAUGCCGUUUCAUGCCAGGUGAAACUUUUGCUAUCGUGCAACUAUCUGAUUCCUCUGCAGGCACGUACAGCAUGUUUAGAUUUCUAUAUUCUGCUGGACUUAGUCAAUUAUCGAUCUUUAUCAAUAGGGAGAUUGUUAGAGAUUGCUAAAGUACAUGGUUAGAGCGUAGAUGAUACUGAAAUUGCUGUUUGUUAUAAGAUAUGAUUUUAGAAGCAGUUUUGUAGUUCUACAGAUUUCCCUGUGCAGACUAUCUAUAGGAAUAUGAUUAGUAUACGGUGGUUUCUUUUUAGUUAAGAACUUUCUACCGCAUCUUAUUAGAUGUUAAUGAAUUCGGAAUUACCUCAUGUAACUUGCCAUAGUGGUGCAAUUUUCUUCUUAGAAGAUAGAUUGAUGGUUAAGGACCACUGUACAAUAUUUUUCUAAGUAAUGCGAAAUUCUAUUGCUUGUUUUGAACUGGCAUUUCUACUAUCUAGCUGCUCGAUUGACUAUUUGUUUGGCAUGCCAAAAGUAUGAGCUGACAAGUUUUUGGAAUUAUUUAACACAAUUCUCUAUCUAACGCUAAGGCUUGACAAGUCUGUUGGUCGAAUGUCUACUUCUUUUGGAUCUAAUUUAUUCUGGAUUUCUCCUUUUUUUUCAGUUUUAAGUUGUUCUAAAUACUGUGGUGAAGCAACUGAUAUAGAUUUGCUAUUUUAUGUGAUGAUCCAUUGAGGUCUGUGUAGCCUAUUAUUUCUCUUAAUAUUUGUCUGUCUUUGUUCACUCGAGCUGAUAAUGUCAAUUUUUGUUCUUGAAGAUUAAUGAUUGAAUAUCCUUUUGAUCUAAUUUCUCAUGGUCUGUUACACUUAAUUUGACAGGUGGAAUAUUAUUUCAGUGAUGCAAACCUGGCAACUACUGAACACUUGAUGAGGUUUAUUACUAAAGAUUCAGAGGGAUUCGGUAAAUUGAAAGAUCUCUAUAUUUAAGUAUAGGCUGGCAUCUAAUUUCUGCUCCGUAUUGGUUUUUAAUAUUCUAACUUAAGAUCUGACAUCUGCAUGAUCCCUUUUUAAGUAAAAGUAUGUCUAUCUGUAAUUUCUUCUAAAAAAAAUCUCAAAUUUUAAAUAUGAAGAUUUUCGUGAUGUACAGGGUAGUUUUUUAACUUAUGGACUUUGUUGGAAUUAGGGUUCCUUUUUUAAAAAAAUGCUAUUAAAGUGGGCCUAAAUUAUCCUAGGACCUCAGUUUCUUAAGCCUCCUUACAUUUUUCUUCCUCUUCUCUGUCCUCCCCUAGCUUUAAUGAUUUGUGGACUCGAUUUGGAGAUGAAUUUAGACAACUGGUAUUUGUUUGAAGGCAUGGAUCAUGAAAACAGUAUUUCUGCCUUAGAAGUCAGCAUUUUCAUAGUCUUACAUUGAGUAGUUCUGAUGUUCAUCUUCUCGAGUCAUUAGAGCAUUAAUCGGCAAUAUCAUGCUCUUAUGUACACCAAACAGUUGAUAGUUGAGCUUCUUUUAUAGAAAAGAAAAUUUCAUUACUCAUUUUUGUUGUUUAAUAAACUAAUCUUGCUUGCUCCUGUUCUAUGCAGUACCAAUAUCAGUUAUCGCUGCUUUUAAGAAAAUCAAAGCUUUAGUCCACAACAAUUCCUUGCUUGCUAAUGCUCUCCGGACAUCCUCGAAACUUGUAAGUCUUUGACAUGAUUUCAUUGGCUUCAGUACACUGCUGGCUUGACUCAUUCUGCCAUCGUUUUUCCUCACUAGUGAAAAUGGUUGACAUUGUUCUGCUAAUACAAGUACUUGUUGAAUGCUUUAUUGCCUUCAAUCUGGGCAGGUUGUUAGCGAUGAUGGGAAAAAAGUCCGGCGUCAGCAGCCCUUUACAGAAGCAGAUGUGGAAGAACUCCAGGUAACUUUCAGCUAUUUCCCAACUAGGUUACCAAAUUUGAAUUAUGAACCACCAUUGUCUGAUUUUCCUUCUUGUAGUCACGCAUUGUUGUUGCUGAGAAUCUACCAGAGGAUCAUUGUUACCAGAACCUUAUGAAGGUUUUCUCUGCUGUUGGCAGGUAGGUUUCUUUGCAAUAUCCUCCUUUUCUUUUAGUAAAAAAUGAAGGCAUAAAAAUUAAUUGCUUGAAUUAAUGAUGUUUCAGUGUCAAGACAAUACGUACCUGCUAUCCUCAGACUCCCAAUGGUACUGCUCCUGUAACUAACAGGUCUGCCAAACUGGAUAUGCUUUUCGCCAACAAGGUAGGUAUUUUACAUUUCUACAACUAUCAUGUUAUCGAGGGGCCACAAGAUUAUAAUCUGCUAUUUGUGUAUUGUAAUUCCAAUUUGAUGUCAUCCUAGCGAUGUAAAACACUUGUGCUGGCUCAUAAGAAGCUUUUGCCUGAGAAUCAUGUCUAAGUGCUAGGCUGGUUGCUUAUUAGAACGACCAUUUAUGCCACUUUUACUCAAUAUUCCAGCCAACUUUCUGACUGAUCCCUAACAUCACAGCUGUAUGACAAUGAAGUUCUAGAUUGAUGUGGUUCUCUUACUUCUUUUCUUAAAGACUGUUUUUGAAUAAUCCUAAUUUAUAAUAUUGGACUUCAUAAAACUAUUUAGUUUAGUGUUGCUAAUUUUAAUUAUUGUUUUUGCUGAGCCUCUUGAUGCACACAUUAUUGUGGUGAUACUAUUCAAUGUAGUAUGGAGAAGAGAAUGUUUGUGGAAGGAAGUAUAUAGUUGAUUGUGCAAUCUCCUUAUUUGUUUCUUUCUUCGCAACUACCAUUUAUCAAUGAAUUAUAUAAAGGGGUUCAUUUAAAAUUGCAGAACUGGUUUAGUUGUGUCAUUUAUGGAUGAAAAAAGUGCAAACAUUAUAGUUGUUAAAAGGAGCCCUUAGAUUAUCUUUUAUCUGCCUUAAAUUUAAUCGAGUUUGCGAAACAAUAUAGAACAUGCUCAACUUGCUCAGAUUGACAGAGUUGGGUACAGCAGUUCCAAACACAUAUUAUAUUGUUUGCUCUGGUUGUACUUCCAAACAGCUUGAUCUUGAAGUGCCUUUGUAGUCUAAAUCAUUUUUAUGCAUUUAUUUAUUGGUUCUGGAACUUAAAGUUGGAUAUUUAUUGGUAUUGAAUUUUUUUAUCCUUCCGAAAAUUUUGAUGUGUAGCUGCAUGCGUUUGUGGAGUACGAGACUAUUGAUGAUGCCGAGAAAGCAGUAAGUAGCAAAACAUAGAUUUGAAGUUUUAUUUCAUAUGUUGUUUUAUACUUAUUCUAUGAGCUUUUGGCUAUUAUUUCUCUGGAUACAGGUUGCUGAGCUAAAUGAUGAGAGGAACUGGAGAAGUGGGCUCAGAGUUCGUUUACUGAACAGAUGCAUGGUACGAAAGAAUUUUUCACUUAUAAUCAGUUUCUCUUUCCUAAACCAUGAUCUGUCAUUCACUAAAUAUUUUACUAAGCUUUCAGAUAUUGUUGUCUGUGCCUCUGUGGUAUUACACAAAACUCAUCCAUGCAUUAGGAAUGUUAGAUUUUUGACUAGUAGUAAUAGAUAAAGGAUCCUAGUAUGUUCAUUCUUUAUUAUUAUUAUUUUUUAAUAAUGCAAAAUACCCUUCUAAAUCCAGCGGUAUAUUAUUUGUUUGUUCACAUUGUUGCCAUUAUUAACUUUACUGUUUUUUUCUCCUUUUUUUUGAAAUUUUGGGACCUUUCAUGGCUGUAGCAUAUGUAUUAUUCUAUGUUGCUCGUUCACCUAAAAUUUUUGUUCUAGUGCAAUGCCUCAUUGUUUCCUCUCUAAAUCCAGACAAAGCAAGGGGUAGGGCGAGGACGAAAGGGAGGGCAUGAAGGUGAUGGGAAUGGAGAGGAGGAGGAUGUCUCCACAUCAGACCACCCACAUGAGAAGCAUCUGGAAGAUAACUCUCAACUAUCUGAACCAAUGCAUGAGCAUGUGGUAAGCCACUGAGUUUUCUAUUUCUGUCUUCCGUUCAACAUGUGGUAAGCCACUGAGUUUUCUAUUUCUGUCUUCCGUUCUACAUGUGGUAAGCCACUGAGUUUUCUAUUUCUCUCUUACGUUCAGCUGUUUUUUCUUCCCUUCCGGCCUGCUCUUCAUGAGCCUUCUGUUGCAUUAUUUACUUUAUUGGUGGAUCAUCAAACAACACUUAAUAGCUGGAUCUUUGGCAACAGAAACAGAUGUUUAGCUCAUUAAUUGUAAGAAAUCAAAGUUUGGUGGCCUAAGUGACAUUUUGCGAUAAGUUAGUGACUAGUGAGGUCAUUUACCUGUGAAUCUGCUUCACCUGAGCCGUUGUUAAAUUUCUAAAGACCUUGUCUAAGUUGAAGAUUUUCUAAAGAAUUCAAGGUUUUCCUUGGACAGGCAGAGGAGAGCUUCAAUGAGAAGGAAACCGGCAUAAGGCGAGGGAAAGGCCGUGGCCGCGGGAGGGGACGAGGGCGUGGCCACCACAAUAACCGCAAUGGAGGGAACCACCAUGUUGGCACUCCGCCCUCUAGCCACCCGAUUCACAACGAGCCACCAGCUGGUGCAAAUAAACAGCCUCCCGGACCUCGGAUGCCAGAUGGGACAAGAGGAUUCACGAUGGGCAGGGGAAAGCUGCUGACAUCAACCAGCACCACUUGAAGAAGAUUUCGCAAUAUUUAAUAUUUGUAUGCCGCUUAUCAUGUUUGGUGUGCUGUUGAUAGAGUGAUUUUAAUAUGCGUUGCUUGUCACUGGUUCGCGUCCGUCCAGAAAUGUGUUAUCUUAUAUUUUGGGGAUUAGAGACUGUGUGUGUGCUGUUCAAUGUGUGCUUAUACUUUGGCCCUUUGAGGAGCAUUUUGGUUUCUCUUUUUUUCAGACUUUAUUUCCUUCUUCUUCUUUCUUUUGCCUUAUCUUUUUGAAUUUUUUCUUUUAAUAUUCUACCAGUCUGGUGUAGACAGAGAAAAGAAAAAGGAAAAAAAUGGGAUACAGUAGAACUCCAUGGUAUUUAGUAUGUUAUAUAUUACAGAACUCCUUUCGUUUUCUUUUUAUCCAUGGGUAUUNCUCUUUUUUUCAGACUUUAUUUCCUUCUUCUUCUUUCUUUUGCCUUAUCUUUUUGAAUUUUUUCUUUUAAUAUUCUACCAGUCUGGUGUAGACAGAGAAAAGAAAAAGGAAAAAAAUGGGAUACAGUAGAACUCCAUGGUAUUUAGUAUGUUAUAUAUUACAGAACUCCUUUCGUUUUCUUUUUAUCCAUGGGUAUUUCUUUUUUGGUUUUAUUAACGUCACUAUAAGAUAAUGUAUUGCGCAAGUUUGAUUGAGAAGUUUCGUAGAUAUUUGGUGAGUUCCCCUGAUUUUGCUGUUUUCUGCGCAGAUAUUAAAACCAGGUAAGAAUGUCCAACAAUUGGUUGUCACUUCAUGCUGAAAUGGAUGUCUAAACCUUUUUAGUCCUGGAGAAGACGUGAUAACUUUGUGUAGCAUUGAUAUUCUCUUCUUCUAUUUUAGGUUUUGAUUUCAGUAGGUAACCAUUCAUUAUUUUCAUUUUUCUGAAAAAGUUUUAUUUAUGAUUGCUAUUAAUUAACAAAAUAUUCUAGUAGAUUAAAGAAUGUUCUGUUAAGUAACGAGAGACAGGUUAAAUCAAAAAUAGAAAAUUUUCAUAAACAGUAUUUAAAAAUUUGAAGUUCACGUAUCCAUUUAAAAGAAGCCAAGAAUCAUGAACACAGCAUUGGAACAAGAAAAUUCAGCAGUAACACCUCACUCUUUUAUUAUUAUUAGUAAGUAUUUUAAUCUGCGACGAUCCAUUGAACUCAAACACUUCUAAGUUCUAACCCUCUCUAUUGAAAAUGCCAGCAAUCAUCAAAGCAGAAGAUACAUUUCGGCCGGGUACGGUAGUAGAUGCAGGCGCAGCACUUCUUGUCGCAGGGCGCGGGGCAAGCUAUCCAACAACAAAGAGAUCAUCAACCAAAGCAAUGGAGAAUGAACACAGAAACGAGUAGUAAUUAGUUCAGACAUAACUCAGAAAAUGUUUGGUCUCUUUUCAGGGUAUUAUUCUACCUAGUCUAUGAACUUUUCUCUUUAGAAGCCCCUAAAAUUAAUCAAUGUUUUAAACUUUUAAACAGGGUAGAAUGUUCAGUUUACAAGAUUGAAGUGAGCAGAUGUUGUUGACGUCGAAAUGUUGCAGUACUGCGAAAUUACAUAGACCAGUACAUUUUCCGAAGCCAAAGUGAAACACAUUCUACUAUCCAAACAUAAGAUGGAACUGAAAGUAGUAUCUCACCUACUGCCAAUCCAUUCUUAGAGUACUCAAUGUAUGGCAGCGGCUUGCGCGCUGGCGGGGCGGCCGAGUGUGCUACUGCCGGCGACAGCAACAGCAUUGCUACUACAACCGAGAAAUAGACCGCCAAUUUGAGCCCCUUCAUUUGUCCUGAGAAUGGUUGUGUUUUUGGAGAAAUGCAUGAGAAAUGUGUGAGGGAUAGCCCUCCUUAUAUUGUGAAGUGUGUAGUGAAAUUCUCUCAAAACAAAGCAAGUGUGCAGAGUAGGACAAUUUUCGGGGAUAUGCUGCAGAAUAAAGAUACGCAGGUGCAUGAAAUUAAUAUCAGCGAAUGAUAUGAAAUCCACAGAUAUGCUGGAUUCCUUUUGGAUUGUUGGGUUAACUCUUUUGGGUGUUUUAGUAAUUAUUUUUCUUAGGGGGCGUUUGGUUCGCACUAUGAAAGAUUACUAAAAAUAAAAAGAUGUCCGAAAAUUUUAUUCAUAUUCAUUCUAUUACUAAGAAUAUAGUAUUUCUGUGUUCGGUUCGCACAGUUAUAUUAUUUAGUCAAUUAUUUAAGAUUACAAAAAAUAUAAAAUUAAUUUAUCUAUUUCUUUAAUUAAUUUUAGAUAAUGCUACUAAAAUUUUCAACAUUUUUUUUAGAAAAAAGGAAAAGAGAACAUUGGUUAGAGAGAGAGAGAGCAUAAUUAAAGAAUUAGGAAGGGAAAUAGAAUCGAGAUUAGGAGUGAGAGAGUUGAGAUUUUAGAAAACUAGAGAAAGAGAGAGCUUAGUUUAGAGAGAGAAAAAGAGUUGAAGUUCAGAGAAAAAAAGAUAAGUUUAGAGAGAGAUAUGAGAUUAGAGUGUAAAAAAAAAUAAUACUAACUAGUCGGCGGGUAGGGAGAAAAAAGAGAUUAAACAUAUUAUGAUUACUCCAAUCCAUUAAUAUGAGGAUACUCACCUUCCCUCAAGAGAAGGAUAUUAGUACUUUAAGAUAAAUCACAUUCCCAAGUAAAUCCAAUAUUACCAACUAGAUUACUUAGUGCGUUUAGCCAAAUAUCGUCAUACUUUUUUAUUCCUAUUGAAUUUUUAGGCAUCUUAAAAAGAUAGCGCGAACCAAACGCACCCCUAAUGUCUGAAGAUGUAUUGCAUAUCACACUAUUUUGAUAUAAGAAUAAAAUAUUUGGUAAUGAAAU